GCUCCCCCGACGGAAAACGAAACCCACACCAAUUCAUAAGAUUUAUGAGAGUCAAAACCACAAACCCAACAACCUAUAAUAGAAACAUGCGUGGAAAUUGCCUAUCCACGACCCAGUAGCAAUUCUCAUGUUCUUGGAAAACCCAACACGAACAUCUACUUUUUAAGAGAGAGUGAAGAAUAGGCAAUGGAAAGUUUGAAUCUUUCCCAAAGCUAAAGGUCCAAGCGGCGACGUUCUGGCCCUGCUACAAAAUGCUAGCUUUUUUGUGAUUUUGUCGUCUACUCGGGGUUUCCAUGGAAGGGCCUGUACUUGUUGAUACCCAGGUUUCAAUCUUCGUGCAUCUCUCGUAUUCGCCCUACUCCUCUUGUACAAUAUUUAGAUCUUCACUAUGGAGAUCAGACUUCUAGUUGGUAAGUUGGAAGCCUAAGAAAGAUAAAGAGCCCCACAACAUGAAUGCUCUAAAGACUUACUGGCAAGUCGAGAUGGCCGGUGAAAUGUUCUGAAAUCACUUAGCUAUGGAGACUUGGAGCUGAUAUAAGAAUUUAAGCGCAAAUAAAGAUGAUUACUAGGCAGUGACCAGUAAAGUGCAUUUCUUGUCUGCAUACUGAAUCGAAACUAAUAUUGCAGCAAUUUUAACUUGGUUUGCAAUGAUGACAAGUCUACAAUUGUGAACCAGCUCCAUGGCCUUGUUGCAUCCUCACACUUGGUCCUUGCUUCAUCUAGUUAUUGAUAUGUCUUAAUUUGUUGAUGUAGUAUGUCUGCAUGCUUAAGGUUCCUUGAUAGCCACGUUUUUCUUUUUCAUGCCAGACCCAGGUUCUAUUCUACCAUUUACAUAUGCUAUAGCUACUAUAUUUUCAAUCUUCAUGCACAUAUAAUAUUCACAAGGUAAUAUACAAAAUCUAGCUCUUUUCUUCAAUCCAAAGAGAUAAUUCUUAUAUUGAUAAAACUUUUAUCUAUUUAUACAUAGUAGAAAAAGGCCUGAGAUUACGGACAAGAAGUAGUUAGCUUUUAAGUGAAACAAUGUUAUACAUUUGUUUGCGGUGAAGUAAAAACCAGGAUGAAUAAACAUUCUUCUCUUGUUCUGGCAUAUAAAAUGCUGCAUUCAAUUAAAAUUACAUGAUAUCACAUACUUUGAUACAGCUAAUAUCCUUAUUUCAGAUAAUUUCCUACUGCAUAUAAUAUAUAUGAAGGUAUAUAUUGAGAUUUAGUAAGGAAGGUGGCCAUAAAUUAUAUAUGCGUGUGUGUCUGUGUAUUUCUAGCUCCUUCUUCCUGUUACUUUGAGAUAGGACUCUCUAAUAGCCUUCAUUUUGUUGACAAUGACAUCCAUAAAUAUCCGUUCUCUUGGUGAUAUUGACGAGCAUAAGACUCCUAUAUGCAUAACUGAAACCAAGCACUCCUCUCCUCUUCGUUUGACUAGGUCAGGAUCCUGAUGUCUUGUUGGUCUUUCUGUUACAUGAGCUGUAGCACACUAUGCUUUCCAGCAAUGCUGCAGCUGGAAUAUACUCAUAUUGACAGAGGUGUCUAUGUAAGCUUUCUAGCUGUAAUACACACAGUGUAAUCAUGGUAUAAGCUCUAUAAGAGCAUGAUUGUAAUUCAGUGUAAAUGUGCUUGAAUAUAGCAAAUACAUUACCAGAUUUGACAUGGUAUCAGAGCAGUUUUGCUCUUGAGCCUGAUUCCCACCUCUAGAAAUCUAGAUUACCCAUACCCAUAUUCCGCUGCC
This 1720-nucleotide long non-coding RNA is filed under the name Rosa chinensis. RNAcentral's name for it is "sRNA RchiOBHm_Chr3g0463451". Lineage: Eukaryota; Viridiplantae; Streptophyta; Magnoliopsida; Rosales; Rosaceae. The record is from RNAcentral.